UUCUCAAGUCACGUGACAGCAUUUGAGGUCACUGCGGAACAUGAUACAACACGGUGUUUCCAGAGUCGCAUGUAAUCCUGCCAUGUGUAGACGCGAAGACAGACAAUGAGCAGCGGAACAGAGAUCAGCCUCAUCCCCGGAGAAGGAACUCAAGCAACGGACGCUGCACCCGAUACACUUGAACCUCAGGGGAGACUGUUACCGACGAUUUCUGAUCAUCCUCCGUCUACUUCACAACAGGGAGUCAUCGCAACCGAAACUCAGACAUUCUGGCUCCAGUGGGUUGAGGCCGCGUUCCCUGAUCUCGAGUCACAGGCCUACUUCCUGCCUCCUGUCUACGUCAACCGCGUGCCUAUGACCAGCAGUCUGUUGGUGGUCAGGAUGUUUGGGUUCUUCAGCAUGCACCCGGACAAGCUUGUCAGUCCAUGGAGCCAGCGACAACUCCACCAGUUGUUUCCAUUUCUCAGCCUUUUCUCGUUCAGGACAGUGACACCAGAGAUGAUGCAGCCAUGCAGCGGGUACUCCUCCAUCUUCAGAGAUUGUUUG
This is a long non-coding RNA of Pomacea canaliculata, 546 nucleotides long. RefSeq lists it as uncharacterized. Lineage: Eukaryota; Metazoa; Mollusca; Gastropoda; Architaenioglossa; Ampullariidae. The transcript is spliced from 3 exons. The record is from RefSeq and is a predicted model, not a curated record.